RNAcentral lists this unclassified non-coding RNA (324 nucleotides) under soil metagenome. Its description in RNAcentral is "partial contains 5.8S ribosomal RNA, internal transcribed spacer 2, and large subunit ribosomal RNA". The stretch from base 1 to 120 matches the Rfam family "5.8S ribosomal RNA", at positions 35 to 154 of the family's 154-position model. The record is from RNAcentral.
GAUGAAGAACGUAGCGAAAUGCGAUAAGUAAUGCGAAUUGCAGAAUUCAGUGAGUCAUUGAAUCUUUGAACGCACAUUGCGCCCUGUGGUAUUCCGCAGGGCAUGCCUGUUCGAGCGUCAUUUCAACCCUCAAGCCCCGCUUGGUGUUGGGCCCCGCCCGCUGUGGCCGGCCCUAAAGACAGUGGCGGCGCCGCCUGGCCCUCAGCGUAGUACAUCUCUCGCUCCAGGGUCCGGUGGCCGCCUGCCAGAACCCCCCAACUCUGUGGUUGACCUCGGAUCAGGUAGGGAUACCCGCUGAACUUAAGCAUAUCAAUAAGCGGAGGA